Molecule: ribosomal RNA, 489 nt
Filed under: uncultured bacterium
Lineage: Bacteria
Description: partial 16S ribosomal RNA
Rfam family: Bacterial small subunit ribosomal RNA
Source: RNAcentral
GACGAACGCUGGCGGCGCGCUUAACACAUGCAAGUCGAACGCUGAAACCAGAUGCUUGCAUUUGGUGGAUGAGUGGCGAACGGGUGAGUGACACGUGGGUGAUCUGCCCUACACUUUGGGAUAAGCCUGGGAAACUGGGUCUAAUACCGAAUAUUCACAUCAUCGUAGGGGUGGUGUGGAAAGCUUUAUGCGGUGUGGGAUGAGCCUGCGGCCUAUCAGCUUGUUGGUGGGGUAAUGGCCUACCAAGGCGUCGACGGGUAGCCGGCCUGAGGGGGUGUGCGGCCACAUUAGGACUGAGACACGGCCCAGACGCCGACGGGAGGAAGAAGUGGGGAAUAUUGCACAAUGGGCGCAAGCCUGAUGCAGCGACGCCGCGUGGGGGAUGACGGCCUUCGGGUUGUAAACUCCUUUCGCUAGGGACGAAGCCUUUUUAGGUGACGGUACCUGGAGAAGAAGCACCGGCUAACUACGUGCCAGCAGCCGCCGUAA